CUAAUGAUUCUGAGAAUAGAUGAAGUGGAACAGCCAGGUGCGAUCUCUACAUGAGGCCCAGGGUUAACAUCCAUUUUCUAGUUCCUAAUCCACUGUCUAUGAAUCUCUCAAAAUCCACGACUUCUUCCUCUGAAUGUCAUUUGGGGAACAUGGGCUCUCCAACUAGAGCAUCUGUGAGGCAACUCCUCCUCUUCUCCCAUCCAGGUAGUCACCAGGCCUGACCCUGCUUAGCUUCCAAGAUCUGACGAGAUCAGGCGCAUUCAGGGUGACACGGCCGGCUGCACUGAGCCACCAGAGUUGUCUCUUCAACAAGAGAGGUUUGAUCAUCUCAGUAACCUUCUUCUGGGACUCCUGUUAGACGUGUAUACUUAAUACCAUCAGCUGAGUCGUAACAUUCAUCCAAGUCAACUGACCUCCCAGCCUGCCCACAUUGCCUCCCUGCAGGAAGUGAUUUUGCACACAGAAGCCCCUGGUGGGGUACAGUGGAGUGUGAAGUGUCUGUUCUGGGACCACAGUUCCAUCCCUGGAGCAGCGAUUGUAAAGCAUCGUUCUCCUGUUCCAGUAUCUCUCCAGAGACACUCAGGUCUCUGUCACAGGAUCACCAUCGUUAAAGGUAUCUGUCGCUCUGUCUGGAAAGGUGUCUUUCCAGGGGAGGAAAGAGCCAGCUUUGGAGGCACCUGGUUGACUUCAACUAGAGAUCUUGUUGGGUCUGGAGUUGACACCUGGAACUGCUGCAGCCUUUUUGCAACCAUGAAGGAAUCUAGCCUUAGAACAAUGGUAUCACAAAGAUGGAAUGCCGAGCCAAGAGAAUCACCAAGGGGGGACCCAGAUCCCUGAUUAUCCCGUGCCUGGAGCUACGAUCACCUCCGCUUUCUUGCCUCAUGUGAUAAUACAUUUCCUCACUGUUUGAAA
This is a non-coding RNA of Macaca mulatta (Rhesus monkey), 912 nucleotides long. NCBI's taxonomy places the organism in Eukaryota, Metazoa, Chordata, Mammalia, Primates, Cercopithecidae. The record is from RefSeq and is a predicted model, not a curated record.